RNAcentral lists this transfer RNA (55 nucleotides) under Mesocricetus auratus (golden hamster). It matches the Rfam family "tRNA", at positions 10 to 63 of the family's 71-position model. From Rfam's summary of the family: Transfer RNA (tRNA) molecules are approximately 80 nucleotides in length. The record is from Rfam by way of RNAcentral. Lineage: Eukaryota; Metazoa; Chordata; Mammalia; Rodentia; Cricetidae.
GCUCAGUGGUUAGAGCACUGGCUUCUCUUCCAGAGGACUUGGGUUCAAUUCCCAG